GAAUUGACUGACAGGUCACUAAACCAAUACCUGCUGAAAGUUUAACUUACACGGAGAAAAUAGAAGAGCUGUUUUAUACCACGUCAAGCAAAACCGCGACAAGAUUCGACAAGAAACUGGUAUGCUUUAAAGUUCAGUGACUUCAUUGUCUACCUAUAGAUGUGUUCAUCCAUUCAGUUUGUCCUGCUCUGGGGAGGAGAUAAAUAAUUUUGUGUGAAAAACCUGUCAAAAGGCGGAUAAUACUGAAGAACAGCACAUUCGUUAUAGGAGCAGGGGAUGCUUUUUUUUUUU
Molecule: long non-coding RNA, 291 nt
Organism: Hyla sarda
Lineage: Eukaryota; Metazoa; Chordata; Amphibia; Anura; Hylidae
Exons: 4
Source: RefSeq, a predicted model, not a curated record